Haliotis rubra (blacklip abalone) is the source of this 1273-nucleotide long non-coding RNA. RefSeq lists it as uncharacterized. The transcript is spliced from 2 exons. The record is from RefSeq and is a predicted model, not a curated record. Lineage: Eukaryota; Metazoa; Mollusca; Gastropoda; Lepetellida; Haliotidae.
GCAAUAGAUGUCAGCUCGGUUACUAUGGGGACAGGUGUGGAACAUAUUGUGAUGCUGACUGUAUCGGGUGCCUGGAGGCCAAGGGAGGAUGUAGAUGUAGGAGGGUGUGCACUCAAUCCUGUCUGCAUCACAAGCUACCCGACACGACAUGUCUCCAUGUAACGCAGAAGGAAAGGCACACAGAUGCCAACAUCCACGAAAUGACAUCGAGGAAUGGAUCCAGCUUGUGUAGAUUUACCUUAUCACCCUUCAUAUAUCUAGCCAUCGUGUUGACGUUGUCACCCACCGCUGGUGUCAUCUGUUCUUUCAUUGCACUGUAAAUAUUCAUAUGUCAUUUGUGCUGUUGUGUAUGGAAGGACUACUGUUAUAUGACGUGUGUUUCCUAAUCUGUAGCUCAUCAAACAAUUUGAACCUAUUACACUCUUAGCAUAAGUAAAAAAUACAACCAUAUAAAUGUGACAAAGAUAUGAACAUGGAGAAAUUAUAUCCAGAUAAAUUAAAUUUUCAUGUACAAGUAUUAUUGAUAAUCACUGCCAUUAUUACUUUCCCUCACACUAUUUUAUUGUUUUGUACUAAACGUUUUAAUUGUUUUGUUGUACUGUGUUUGUACUAAGGACAAGUAACAAGGGAGUGAGUCAGUUCGGCUUGCGGUCACAUCUGCAGCUGUAUAGCGAGGAACAAACAACGUAAUAGAUAAUGUUUUCAGGACUCCUUCCGCGUUGUAGUGUCGCUCAGUGUAUGUGUGUGUUUGUGUUUGUGUGUAUCUUGUAUUGAAUGUACACCGAUAUAUAUAAAUAUAUUUGACAAGAAUAUAAAAUAAUAAUCACAUAAAGUUCACAGGAAUUGUCAACUACAACAAAGGGAAAAAAGUCCCGUUACAUUAAAGACGUUCUGAGCAUUAUAAGAAGUAGCAUAAAAAGCCUCCCUUGGACCUGGUAAGUCUGUGAAGGUAUCCUCGCUUGUCAGUCAAGGCAACGUGUGUGUUGAAUCUGGGAUGAUCUUAUAUUUGUGUUGCUGAGCGGUGACUGCAGUCGGAAGCCAUAAGUAAUGAGAUUUCACAUAAUGUGAACUAAAUGUACAGGUUACACUCGAGGUAACGUCCUCUGAAAGUACAUGUGUUGUCAGUUAACAAGUGUUUGAGAGAGGGCUAGGACAUGAACAUGUAUGUUUCAGUUUGAAUACUGUUGUGGAUACUGUGGAAUAUACUGCUCACAAAAAGUAGGGGAUAUUGAAAAGUUGAGACAAAUAAAAGCAAACGUAUGUUUAAUUGUCA